RNAcentral lists this ribosomal RNA (369 nucleotides) under Triticum aestivum (bread wheat). RNAcentral describes it as "partial small subunit ribosomal RNA". Lineage: Eukaryota; Viridiplantae; Streptophyta; Magnoliopsida; Poales; Poaceae. The record is from RNAcentral.
AUGCCGCACGCCCAUGCCGAUGUGGUGGACGAGAUCGAACAGAUGGCGUUGGGUAACUAUGGCGGUCUGCCACACUGGGGCAAGAACCGCAACUUCGCCUUCGACGGUGCCAUCGCAAGGUACCCCAAAGCUGAUAAGUUCUUUAAGGUAAAGAGCAGUUACGACACCGACGGGCUCUUCUCCAGUGAGUGGACCGACCAGGUGCUUGGUAUCAACGGAAGUCCCAACAUCAUCGAGAAUCGUUGUGCCAUUGAAGGACUCUGCAUCUGCUCCGACGACUCACACUGCGCACCGGAGCAGGGCUACUUCUGCCGGCUAGGGAAGGUUUACAAGAAGGCUAGAGUUUGCUCCUCCGAGGAGGAUUAUUAG